UUCAUUUUCCCCUAGUGGCGAAUCAGUUUCCGGGAAUUCCUCGCCAAUUAAGGAUUGUUGUGUGCAAAUAUAAAGUUGUGAGAUGGAGGAUCGUGAGAAACCCACGGGUUCGUGUACAAGCAAUUAGGGGACUACCUUUUUUCUAUAAGGAUACACUUGAGAAUAUAGGGAAGAUGGUUGAUAUACUUGUGCAAAUUCUUGGCUCUGGUAAGUUGGGCACUUUGUAGGUUUUACGGUUGAGAACAUAGCCAUGAUUGAUUGUAGCAUGUACUUGAGAUAAAAAUAUGUUCUUGAGGGCUUAAAAGACACCUCUCAUGUUCUGCUAUUUAUAUAGAUAAAUAGUUGAUACAAUAGAGAGAUAGAAGGUCAAGUUAUUGUCCUAGACUGCUAGGUACAAUGAUUAGAGAUAACCCAACACA
Vigna angularis (adzuki bean) is the source of this 419-nucleotide long non-coding RNA. RefSeq lists it as uncharacterized. Lineage: Eukaryota; Viridiplantae; Streptophyta; Magnoliopsida; Fabales; Fabaceae. The record is from RefSeq and is a predicted model, not a curated record. The transcript has 3 exons.